Molecule: ribosomal RNA, 465 nt
Filed under: Vreelandella stevensii
Lineage: Bacteria; Pseudomonadati; Pseudomonadota; Gammaproteobacteria; Oceanospirillales; Halomonadaceae
Description: partial 16S ribosomal RNA
Rfam family: Bacterial small subunit ribosomal RNA
Source: RNAcentral
CCUACGGGUGGCAGCAGUGGGGAAUAUUGGAGAAUGGGCGAAAGCCUGAUCCAGCCAUGCCGCGUGUGUGAAGAAGGCCUUCGGGUUGUAAAGCACUUUCAGUGGGGAAGAAAGCCUUGGGGCUAAUACCCUCGAGGAAGGACAUCACCCACAGAAGAAGCACCGGCUAACUCCGUGCCAGCAGCCGCGGUAAUACGGAGGGUGCGAGCGUUAAUCGGAAUUACUGGGCGUAAAGCGCGCGUAGGCGGUCUGAUAAGCCGGUUGUGAAAGCCCCGGGCUCAACCUGGGAACGGCAUCCGGAACUGUCAGGCUAGAGUGCAGGAGAGGAAGGUAGAAUUCCCGGUGUAGCGGUGAAAUGCGUAGAGAUCGGGAGGAAUACCAGUGGCGAAGGCGGCCUUCUGGACUGACACUGACGCUGAGGUGCGAAAGCGUGGGUAGCAAACAGGAUUAGAUACCCCUGUAGUC